UGGGGAAUCUUGGACAAUGGGCGCAAGCCUGAUCCAGCCAUGCCGCGUGGAUGAUGAAGGCCUUAGGGUUGUAAAAUCCUUUCGUGGGGGACGAUAAUGACGGUACCCCAAGAAGAAGCUCCGGCUAACUUCAUGCCAGCAGCCGCGGUAAUACGAAGGGGGCUAGCGUUAAUCGGAAUUACUGGGCGUAAAGCGUGCGCAGGCGGUUCUAUAAGACAGAUGUGAAAUCCCCGGGCUCAACCUGGGAAUGGCAUUUGUGACUGUAGAGCUAGAGUACGGUAGAGGGGGAUGGAAUUCCGCGUGUAGCAGUGAAAUGCGUAGAUAUGCGGAGGAACACCGAUGGCGAAGGCAAUCCCCUGGACCUGUACUGACGCUCAUGCACGAAAGCGUGGGGAGCAAACAGGAUUAGAUACCCAAGUAGUCCCUGAGCGGGCUGGCAAGGCGCAU
RNAcentral lists this ribosomal RNA (447 nucleotides) under uncultured bacterium. RNAcentral describes it as "bacterial SSU rRNA". It matches the Rfam family "Bacterial small subunit ribosomal RNA", at positions 355 to 825 of the family's 1533-position model. The record is from RNAcentral.